CGGAACGGGUGAGUAACGCGUGAGGAACCUGCCUCAAAGAGGGGGGAAACAGUUGGAAACGACUGCUAAUACCGCAUAAGCCCACGGCUCGGCAUCGAGCAGAGGGAAAAGGAGCAAUCCGCUUUGAGAUGGCCUCGCGUCCGAUUAGCUAGUUGGUGAGGUAACGGCCCACCAAGGCGACGAUCGGUAGCCGGACUGGGAGGUUGAACGGCCACAUUGGGACUGAGACACGGCCCAG
Molecule: ribosomal RNA, 238 nt
Filed under: uncultured bacterium
Lineage: Bacteria
Description: partial 16S ribosomal RNA
Rfam family: Bacterial small subunit ribosomal RNA
Source: RNAcentral